CCUGGCUCAGGACGAACGCUGGCGGCGUGCCUAAUACAUGCAAGUCGAGCGAAGUUUUUCUGGUGCUUGCACUAGAAAAACUUAGCGGCGAACGGGUGAGUAACACGUAAAGAACCUGCCUCAUAGACUGGGACAACUAUUGGAAACGAUAGCUAAUACCGGAUAACAGUAUUUCUCGCAUGAGAGAUAUUUAAAAGUUGGUUAUGCUAACACUAUGAGAUGGCUUUGCGGUGCAUUAGCUAGUUGGUGGGGUAAAGGCCCACCAAGGCGACGAUGCAUAGCCGACCUGAGAGGGUGAUCGGCCACACUGGGACUGAGACACGGCCCAGACUCCUACGGGAGGCAGCAGUAGGGAAUCUUCCGCAAUGGGCGAAAGCCUGACGGAGCAACGCCGCGUGAGUGAAGAAGGAUCUCGGUUCGUAAAGCUCUGUUGUUAGGGAAGAAUGGAUAUGUAGUAACUAUACAUGUAAGAGACGGUACCUAACCAGAAAGCCACGGCUAACUACGUGCCAGCAGCCGCGGUAAUACGUAGGUGGCAAGCGUUGUCCGGAAUUAUUGGGCGUAAAGCGCGCGCAGGUGGUUUAAUAAGUCUGAUGUGAAAGCCCACGGCUCAACCGUGGAGGGUCAUUGGAAACUGUUAAACUUGAGUGCAGGAGAGAAAAGUGGAAUUCCUAGUGUAGCGGUGAAAUGCGUAGAGAUUAGGAGGAACACCAGUGGCGAAGGCGGCUUUUUGGCCUGUAACUGACACUGAGGCGCGAAAGCGUGGGGAGCAAACAGGAUUAG
Molecule: ribosomal RNA, 783 nt
Filed under: uncultured Caryophanales bacterium
Lineage: Bacteria; Bacillati; Bacillota; Bacilli; Caryophanales
Description: bacterial SSU rRNA
Rfam family: Bacterial small subunit ribosomal RNA
Source: RNAcentral